GAGCGCGCCCCUGAUAAUUGCGGGGCGAGGUCUCUGGUUCAAGUCCAGGAUGGCCCA
RNAcentral lists this transfer RNA (57 nucleotides) under Bromus tectorum (cheatgrass). RNAcentral describes it as "partial tRNA-Ile". The record is from RNAcentral. RNAcentral also lists the same sequence under 3 other names. Lineage: Eukaryota; Viridiplantae; Streptophyta; Magnoliopsida; Poales; Poaceae.